AUGUCUGCUGUGGACAGACCAGGAGCCACGCAGCCUCGGUGGGACAGACCUUCCAGGAAUCCUCUGGGACUCGUGGCUGGAAGCAGGCGUCCCCUCAGCACAUGCACCUGGCUCCCUGACGGCCCCCGCUCCGCUCAGCGCACGCACAGGAGUCCCGUUUAUGUGUCCUUUGUCAGCAAGGCCAUCCUGUGGGACAGAGGACUCUGUCACUACCCUGCUCACGUUCAUCCCACCGAUCGCACCUCACUGUGUCCACGCUUCUUAUCCCACAUGAAGGCUUGUCCAGGAGACUUCAGGCCUCCUUGUUUCCUCAGCUCCACGUUAAGGCCACAGCCUCCACCUCAGGGGACGACGACACACAUCCUCCUGGCACCAAAGACCCAAACGCUGGAGGGGUGCUUCCAUUUCGAUCCAGAGAGAAGAGGUCGUGCAGUUCACAGCGCUCGCGUCAACGUAGGGCGACGCGCUGCUGUCGCUCCUCCCCGUCCUCCGCUCCCUGCGACACCGCCUCCAUCCAGCAGCAGCAGCAGCAGCAGCCCAACGCCUCCCCGCCAGCGCAGCCUCCGCGCCCACUCUGGGCGACAGCAGAGCGGGUCCAGCACGGCGCCACCGUCCCCUCCUGGGCCUCGUCUCCCUUCAGAGGAUAAACACGAGUCACCGGAGAAGGAGCGAGCGCCUCAGCCAGCGGUGGUGUCCAUCGCAGAGUCCGCAGAGCGGGACGGGCCGCUGAACCUUGGGCCGGCUGGACCCGUGCGCUCAGAGACACCGGCCUCUGCUGUGUCACACGGCUCCCUCUCAGACUGGAGUCGCCCUCCCUCCAGCCUUUUCAGUCGGAGCACUGACCUCUCCAGUGGCAGGAGCAGUGUCCUGUCGGCAGGUGUGACGGACACAGACCCUGAAGGCAGCGUUUGCCUCUCUCCCCUCCACCUGUCGUCAGUGAUGGAGCUACCUCUGUCUGCCUCUCCAGCUGGACCCACCCCUCACGGGUCCACAACAAGCACCACCACCCAUCCACCCUAUGAGCCGGACUCACGUCAAACCAAGGCCUUCUCGCCUCGCCCAACUUCAAGCAUCCAGUCACAUUCACAUAAACCCCUGAGCAGCAGCAGAAGCUCAAAACCAGCAGAGAAGCUCCCCCACGAUGCGUCCACAGAUCCCGCUCUCAACCUGUCUCUGCCCUCUGACCAUGGCCUUGUCACACUGACUUUCACCCCCACCACCUGGUCGUCCUGCCCAAGUCCACAAAGGAGCACUCCCCCUUCCCCUCCCCUGAGUGGCCUGGAGUCUCAGCGUUGGCCCGUGCUGCCGCCCAUCUCUCCAGUCAGAGGACGCUGCGGCACAGCAGCAUCACGCUACUCUGAACUAAGCUGCACGCAGUCUCACGUGUUCGAUGAACUGGAGGCCAUCGCUCCCCUGUCCACUUCCUGUCUGUCGCUAGACGAGGCCUCAGACUCAUCGGGCACGUCUUCACCUGACUCAGCGCUGUCUCCGGGCCUGGCGGCGCUGACCGUGGGCUGCGACUCAGGGAACCUGGGUUCACUGUCCCGGGUUCAGCUGCUCCUGCUGGACAGAGCAGAGCCUGAGACCCUGCAGAGCGCCGGCAGCUUUGAGGAGAACUGGGACGAGCUUAGCUGGAGUUCGGCAGGUGUUUUGAGGCCUCGCACAUCUGGCAGCAUCUCUGAAAGGUGCGACUCUGCGGGGAAAGUCCAGGAGGCCAGAUCGGAUGCAUCUGAAGGAGGCUCAUGGUCAUCGUCCUCCUGGAUCAUAGACCCGACUCAUACGUCAGCAUGUUCCCCCUGCCCGUCUCAUCAUGACUCCUGCCUAGAUGACGGAGGUCAUGACGAUGAGUCCGAUCAUCCAGGGUGGAGGGACGACACUGGGAGAAGUGAGGAGCGGGACACAAAGAUGGAGGAGAGGAAGACAAAGGUGAUGCACUUGCUGUCCAAGCUGCAGGACACGACUCCACGGAAGAGAAACAGCCCCAGAGGCCCCUCCGACUUCGAGGACUUUGACUUUUUGGCCAAGUACUGUAUCUUCAGUCAGGAGAAGCUGGCUGAGUACAAACGAGCUUUUGAAGCAGAGGACAGUGAUGGUGACGGCUACAUUUCCUGCCUCCAGGUCUUGCUCGCUCUUAAGAACAUCAUCCCUCCGGAGCUCCUGAGCGAUGAAGAAGAGAUAUACGUCUACAGGAUCCUGGAGAUGGUGGACUUCAGAGUGACAGAUGGACUGGUUGACCUGAGGCUCUUCGCUGUGAUCGCCAGUCUGGCACAGAAGAUCGCCACCAUGGAUGAGUUUAUGCGGUCGCUCAUCAGCAACAUGGACUUUCGCUCUCUGGAAGUGAGGCUCUUCAAAGCCAAGAAAUGA
This is a long non-coding RNA of Betta splendens (Siamese fighting fish), 2364 nucleotides long. Ensembl lists it as uncharacterized. The record is from Ensembl. NCBI's taxonomy places the organism in Eukaryota, Metazoa, Chordata, Actinopteri, Anabantiformes, Osphronemidae.